RNAcentral lists this ribosomal RNA (305 nucleotides) under uncultured bacterium. RNAcentral's name for it is "bacterial SSU rRNA". It matches the Rfam family "Bacterial small subunit ribosomal RNA", at positions 334 to 654 of the family's 1533-position model. The record is from RNAcentral.
GAGUACCUACGGGACGCAGCAGUGGGGAAUAUUGCGCAAUGGGGGCAAACCUGACGCAGCAACGCCGCGUGAUUGAAGAAGGCCUUCGGGUUGUAAAGAUCUUUAAUCGGGGACGAAUUUUGACGGUACCCGAAGAAUAAGCUCCGGCUAACUACGCGCCGGCAGCCGCGGUAAUACGUAGGGAGCAAGCGUUAUCCGGAUUUACUGGGUGUAAAGGGCGUGUAGGCGGGCAUGCAAGCCAGAAGUGAAAUCUGGGGGCUUAACCCCCAAACUGCUUUUGGAACUGCGUGUCUUGAGUGAUGGAG